This 75-nucleotide transfer RNA is filed under the name Candidatus Omnitrophota bacterium. RNAcentral's name for it is "tRNA-Cys". It matches the Rfam family "tRNA". From Rfam's summary of the family: Transfer RNA (tRNA) molecules are approximately 80 nucleotides in length. Their secondary structure includes four short double-helical elements and three loops (D, anti-codon, and T loops). The record is from RNAcentral. Lineage: Bacteria; Pseudomonadati; Candidatus Omnitrophota.
GGCGCGGUAGCCAAGUGGCAAGGCAGCGGUCUGCAAAACCGCUAUUCAGCGGUUCGAAUCCGCUCCGCGCCUCCA